Molecule: ribosomal RNA, 585 nt
Filed under: uncultured marine eukaryote
Lineage: Eukaryota
Description: SSU rRNA
Rfam family: Eukaryotic small subunit ribosomal RNA
Source: RNAcentral
AACCUGGUUGAUCCUGCCAGUAGUCAUAUGCUUGUCUCAAAGACUAAGCCAUGCAUGUCUAAGUAUAAGUAUUAUACAGCGAAACUGCGAAUGGCUCAUUAAAACAGCUAUAGUUUAUUUGAUAAUCUAACUACAUGGAUACCCGUAGUAAUUCUAGAGCUAAUACAUGCUGUACACCGAACUUCAUGGGGAGGUGGUAUUUAUUAGAUAACAACCAAUAUUCCGCAGGUCUAUUGUGGUGAAUCAUAAUAACUGAUCGAAUCGUAAAGCCUUUGGCGACGAUAAAUCAUUCAAGUUUCUGCCCCAUCAGCUUUAGAUGGUAGUGUAUUGGACUACCAUGGCAUUCACGGGUAACGGAGGAUUAGGGUUCGAUUCCGGAGAGGGAGCCUGAGAAACGGCUACCACAUCUAAGGAAGGCAGCAGGCGCGUAAAUUACCCAAUCCUGACUCAGGGAGGUAGUGACAAGAAAUAGCAAGAAGUACCUUGUGUAUUUCAUUGAAAUGAACCGAAUUUACACCACUUAGUGAGGAUCAAUUGGAGGGCAAGUCUGGUGCCAGCAGCCGCGGUAAUUCCAGCUCCAAUAGC